UGCAAAUCAAUAUAAAUUGAUAAUGUUUAAUAUUUAUUUAUUUAUUUAUUUUGUUUAUUUAUUUAAUAUAUUAAAAAUAAUUAUAUAAUUUAAUGUUUUAGUAAUUUUUAAUGAAAAAAUAAUUUUAAUAAUAGUUUAUUUUGUAUUGUAAAAGGUUAUUGAAAUAAUUGAAAAAUUUUUAUAUAAAAAGAAAAUUUAAUUUAUUGUACCUUGUGUAUCAGGGUUUAUUAAAUAAUUAAUAAAUAUUUAUUUAUCUCGAUUUUAUAAGAGUUAAUAAUUUAUAAAAUUUAAUGUUUUAAAAUUAUAUUAAAUAAAUUAUUAGAAAUGAAAUGUUAUUCGUUUAUAAAGGUAUCUAGUUUUUUUAGAAAUAAAUUUAAUUUACAAUUUUUUAAUUUUUAAUUUAUUUUUAUAAAUUAAAAAUUUAUUAAAUUGAAUAUUUUAUGGGAUAAGCUUUAAAAUAAAUUAUUAAAAAUUUAUAUUAGUUAUUAAAAAUGUAUGUGUAGAAUUAGCAAUCAUUUAUAAGUUUAUUAUAAAUUAUUUUUAUGUCUUUAUUAUUUAUUGUAUUUUAAUUUUAUAUAAAAAUUUUUUUUAUAAUAAAUUUUAUUAAAUAAUAAUGAUUAAAUUAGUAUAUUAAUUAUUUAUAUAUAAAUAUAAUUGAAAAGUUUAUUUAAAGAACUCGGCAAAUUUUAUACUCGCCUGUUUAACAAAAACAUGUCUUUUUGUAUUAAAUAAAAAGUCUAACCUGCCCACUGAAUAGAUUUUAACGGCCGCAGUAUUUUAACUGUGCAAAGGUAGCAUAAUAAUUAGUCUUUUAAUUGGAGGCUUGUAUGAAUGGUUGAACGAAGUAUAAACUGUUUCAUUUAAAUUUAUAAUAGAAUUUUAUAUUUUAGUUAAAAAGCUAAAAUUUUUUUAAAAGACGAGAAGACCCUAUAAAUCUUUAUAUUUUAUAUUAAAUAAAUUUUUUUGGUAUAUUUUAUUUUUAUAUUAUAAAAUAUUUUGUUGGGGUGAUAUUAAAAUUUAAUAAACUUUUAAUUUUAUUUAAUCAUUAAUUUAUGAUUUUUGAUCCGUUAAUAACGAUUAUAAGGUUAAGUUACUUUAGGGAUAACAGCGUAAUUUUUUUGGAGAGUUCAUAUCAAUAAAAAAGUUUGCGACCUCGAUGUUGGAUUAAGAGAUAUUUUUAGGUGUAGUUGCUUAUAAAUUUAAGUCUGUUCGACUUUUAAA
Molecule: ribosomal RNA, 1221 nt
Filed under: Philophylla pulla
Lineage: Eukaryota; Metazoa; Arthropoda; Insecta; Diptera; Tephritidae
Description: partial 16S ribosomal RNA
Source: RNAcentral